GUACGUACAAGGAUAACUUUGUGAAUGAUAAAGCUAAUACUUGAUACGUUCCGGGGAGUAUUUAUACUUCACGGCCAUCUGCCGCGAGGUGGGUGAGGAGCGACACUCUUCUGUGAGGAAGGGUGCCGUGACAAUUGCAGAAAGCUACGCUUUUUACAAGUAACCAAUGAGAAUUUCUGAUCUAUCAAUUUGUUGGUAGUAUCGAGGACUACCAAGAUUAUAACGGAUAACGAGGAAUUGGGGUUCGACAUCGGAGAGGGAGCUUUACAGAUGGCUACCACUUCUAAGGAAGGCAGCAGGCGCGUAAAUUACCCACUUUCGACCUGAAGAGGUAGUGACGACAAUUAACUCUGGAGAUGCCAUAUGGUAUCUCUUGAAGGAAUGAUUAAGAAUUAAAUUCUCUUAAGAAAUCAAUUGGAGGGCAAGUCUGGUGCCAGCAGCCGCGGUAAUUCCAGCUCCAAUAGUGUAUAUUAAAGUUGCUGUGAUUAAAACGCUCGUAGUUGAAUUAUAAUGCGUUUAGUAUUUGGAGGCCUUACUUUGUGAGGUUGAAGGGUACAUCGAAUAAUGUUUAGGUGAUAUUCACUUGUGGGUAUCAUUACUUUGAAAAAAAUAGAGUGUUUAAAGCAAAUCUUAUGUUAAUGAAUAAUGAAGCAUGGGAUAAUAUUGAGGGGAUCCUUCGGGAUUUCGAGAGAAGGA
This 696-nucleotide ribosomal RNA is filed under the name Entamoeba sp. Its description in RNAcentral is "SSU rRNA". It matches the Rfam family "Eukaryotic small subunit ribosomal RNA", at positions 131 to 863 of the family's 1831-position model. The record is from RNAcentral. Lineage: Eukaryota; Evosea; Mastigamoebida; Endamoebidae.